CAGUUCUUGUCCACCAUCAUCUGGAACUUCCCCCGGCACAGACCAGGAACAAAGGGAGGAUCGCCAUUGGUUCCUGUUAAAGGUUUAUUUAAUUUUAAUAGUCCAGCUCCCGUAACCAGCGCAUUAGCAGGAGUACUCGUGUUUCUGGCCCCGAUUUCUGAAAAUCCCAUCGUCAGAGGUGUAGUGAUAUGUCUUUCCUUCGCCCUGCACUUAAGUUUUCAGAUUUGUCAAGUAAAAGAGUGAGUUUAUAUAUAGUUUGUGCAAUAAAAAAGUCAGUUAUAUAGUUAUAGUAUAUAUAUAGUUUGUGUUUAGUAAAGUGUGUGUGUUUUUACCUUAUACUGAAUUCUCUCUUUCAGUUACACUACACGGUGCCCAGUGGCCUUUCUUUUUGUUGUACUCUUUGUAAGUGUUUAAGUGAUACUAAAGUUCAGGCUGUAGGACGUCAGAAUGUCUGAAUGUUUUAGCUAAAAUAUUGUUUUACACAGAUGACCGCACUGUUCUUCUAUUCUCUGAUAAACAAGUGUAGGUGUAGAAAUGUGGCAGGUUAAAUCUGUUUUACUUUUCCACAGACCAGCAUGAACGCCAUAAUGGUUUGGGGCAUGUUAAGUUUUCACGAGGUUGUGGGAACGCUUAUUGUAACAGCCAUAGCCAUCAGGAUGUGUUCUGUACUUGUGGUGUUCUGUUGGAAGUCCAAGGUUUAUUACCCUAUUUUCGGCGGUGUUGGAGGCUUUACCUACACUACAUUCCUGAUCUUUGAGUCCUGGGCUUUGUUCCAAAAUGGGGACAAAAAGUUCACUACCUGGGAUGCCUGUUUGGCAGCAGGGACAAUAUUUGUAAAUACCAGCUCUGAACUAACCCUGCCUGAUCUUGUCCCACCACCAUAAUUUUCCACACAAACACACACUCAAACAAACACUCACAAACACACUCACAAACACACAUACACAAUGCACACACACGAACACACACAGCAACAAACACACAAUCACAAAACACAAACAAACACAUUUACAAAGGCACACACACAUAUACUGUACACAAACAAACACACACACCCAUAAACACACAUGCAUACAAACACAAACACACUCACACAAACAGACACACAUGCAAGCAAACACACACACACACUCUCUCUCACACAUGCACACACACAUUCUCUUUUUCAUUUGUUUGUUUUAAGCCUGUUGGCUGUUUUGUUCAAUUGUUUUUAUAGUUGUUAAAUAAGUUGUUUUUUGUGUAGUCAUUGUUCUUGGAUUUUUUAAAAAUACAAUUGUAUUUAUAUUGUGUUUUAA
This is a long non-coding RNA of Clarias gariepinus (North African catfish), 1295 nucleotides long. RefSeq lists it as uncharacterized. Lineage: Eukaryota; Metazoa; Chordata; Actinopteri; Siluriformes; Clariidae. The record is from RefSeq and is a predicted model, not a curated record. The transcript is spliced from 8 exons.